CCUACGGAAGGCAGCAGUAGGGAAUCUUCGGCAAUGGACGAAAGUCUGACCGAGCAAAGCCGCGUGAGUGAAGAAGGUCUUCGGAUCGUAAAACUCCGUUGUUAGAGAAGAACAAGGACGUUAGUAACUGAACGUCUCCUGACGGUAUCUAACCAGAAAGCCACGGCUAACUACGUGCCAGCAGCCGCGGUAAUACGUAGGUGGCAAGCGUUGUCCGGAUUUAUUGGGGGUAAAGCGAGCGCAGGCGGUUUCUUAAGUCUGAUGUGAAAGCUCCCGGCUCAACCGGGGAGGGUCAUUUGAAACUGGGAGACUUGAGUGCAGAAGAGGAGAGUGGAAUUCGAGGUGUAGCGGUGAAAUGCGUAGAUAUAUGGAGGAACACCGGUGGCGAAGGCGGCUCACUGGUCUGUAACUGACGCUGAGGCUCGAAAGCGUGGGGAGCAAACAGGAUUAGAUACCCGAGUAGUC
RNAcentral lists this ribosomal RNA (465 nucleotides) under uncultured bacterium. RNAcentral describes it as "partial 16S ribosomal RNA". It matches the Rfam family "Bacterial small subunit ribosomal RNA", at positions 338 to 795 of the family's 1533-position model. The record is from RNAcentral.